This 74-nucleotide transfer RNA is filed under the name Phycisphaerae bacterium. Its description in RNAcentral is "tRNA-Ile". It matches the Rfam family "tRNA". From Rfam's summary of the family: Transfer RNA (tRNA) molecules are approximately 80 nucleotides in length. Their secondary structure includes four short double-helical elements and three loops (D, anti-codon, and T loops). Further hydrogen bonds mediate the characteristic L-shaped molecular structure. tRNAs have two regions of fundamental functional importance: the anti-codon, which is responsible for specific mRNA codon recognition, and the 3' end, to which the tRNAs corresponding amino acid is attached (by aminoacyl-tRNA synthetases). tRNAs cope with the degeneracy of the genetic code in two manners: having more than one tRNA (with a specific anti-codon) for a particular amino acid; and 'wobble' base-pairing, i.e. permitting non-standard base-pairing at the 3rd anti-codon position. Lineage: Bacteria; Pseudomonadati; Planctomycetota; Phycisphaerae. The record is from RNAcentral.
GGGCUCAUAGCUCAGUUGGCUAGAGCGCGCCGCUGAUAACGGCGAGGUCGAAGGUUCGACUCCUUCUGGGCCCA